This 21-nucleotide microRNA is filed under the name Glycine max (soybean). RNAcentral describes it as "gma-miR4412-3p". The record is from miRBase by way of RNAcentral. Lineage: Eukaryota; Viridiplantae; Streptophyta; Magnoliopsida; Fabales; Fabaceae.
AGUGGCGUAGAUCCCCACAAC